This 519-nucleotide ribosomal RNA is filed under the name uncultured bacterium. RNAcentral's name for it is "bacterial SSU rRNA". It matches the Rfam family "Bacterial small subunit ribosomal RNA", at positions 8 to 518 of the family's 1533-position model. The record is from RNAcentral.
AGAGUUAAUCAUGGCUCAGGAUGAACGCUAGCUACAGGCUUAACACAUGCAAGUCGAGGGCAGCAUGGUCUUAGCUUGCUAAGAUUGAUGGCGACCGGCGCACGGGUGAGUAACGCGUAUCCAACCUUCCCUAUAGUAGGGGAUAGCCCGUAGAAAUGCGGAUUAAUACCCUAUGUUGUAUUUUGAGGACAUCUGACGAAUACCAAAGGUUCACCGCUAUAGGAUGGGGAUGCGUCUGAUUAGGUAGUCGGCGGGGUAACGGCCCACCGAGCCAACGAUCAGUAGGGGUUCUGAGAGGAAGGUCCCCCACAUUGGAACUGAGACACGGUCCAAACUCCUACGGGAGGCAGCAGUGAGGAAUAUUGGUCAAUGGGCGAGAGCCUGAACCAGCCAAGUAGCGUGCAGGAUGACGGCCCUAUGGGUUGUAAACUGCUUUUAUGCGGGGAUAAAGUGAGGGACGUGUCCCUUAUUGUAGGUACCGCAUGAAUAAGGACCGGCUAAUUCCGUGCCAGCAGCAGC